GUAAACGGAGAGGAUUUUGAAUAGCCUACCACACAUUUUUCUAAGAUGAAUCAGCGCAAGAUGAAAUGCUGUUUAGUCUUUGAUGAUCAUGAAAUCCCUGCAAGCUAUUUGGCAUAUGAAGGUCUCGACCUGAGAAAACCAUCGUGGAUAACCAUAACCACGGCCAGGAGAAGGGAAAAUGCAACACCUAGGAGAUUUCAGUAAACAGUAGAAUCAUGCCAACCUAAUCUGUGUUAAAAUGCUUGGAAUGUGGGAGCCGCUGAUGAUGCCUGUUGUCUGUGUGUCUGACUGAAUCCUUUCUUUUCUCAGAGCAGCAAAGCAAAGCCUGGGAACCAGGCCAAAUGCCUGCCACUUACCUUAAAUUGAUCAGCCACUUUGAGAUUAAAACCCCUGAAAGCUGCCACACCGUGAAAACAAGGCCUCCUUCACAUUAAAGGCAAAUUGCGACUUUG
This is a long non-coding RNA of Ictidomys tridecemlineatus (thirteen-lined ground squirrel), 452 nucleotides long. RefSeq lists it as uncharacterized. The record is from RefSeq and is a predicted model, not a curated record. NCBI's taxonomy places the organism in Eukaryota, Metazoa, Chordata, Mammalia, Rodentia, Sciuridae.